CGCUGGGAGAGGAGGUGCACCACCGCGAUCUUCUUGGCGCGGCGCCAGUGGUCCCCGUACGGCGAGAAGGAGAUGUUGCGGGAGCCAUACGUCUGCUUGUGAGCCGCCGCGUUGUGUGGGCGGGAGGAGAAUGCAAGGUCGUGGUUGCGGAACAGGUCCGCGGCCGCCGCGGCCGUGGAGACGACCAGUGUCCGCCGGCGCCCGAGAUGCAGGAGGAGAAGGCCACCGUCGCCGCCAUAUCGGAGUUGCAGCUCGUGCAGGGACCGGUGCGGGAGGCGGCCGAUGAGAUGGAGGUGACCGACCAGUGGCAGAGACACGGGCGACGGCGGGAGUUUGCUCUUGCUCGACCGGUUCUUGACGAUGUAGAGGAAGCCGAGAAGCAAGGCAGCGCCGGCGCCGGCGAGCACGAAAGCAGACAUAUCUUCACCUCACUCUGCCGGCUA
RNAcentral lists this unclassified non-coding RNA (443 nucleotides) under Zea mays. RNAcentral's name for it is "misc RNA Zm00001eb310510". Lineage: Eukaryota; Viridiplantae; Streptophyta; Magnoliopsida; Poales; Poaceae. The record is from RNAcentral.